RNAcentral lists this transfer RNA (69 nucleotides) under Coleonyx mitratus. RNAcentral describes it as "tRNA-Val". Lineage: Eukaryota; Metazoa; Chordata; Lepidosauria; Squamata; Eublepharidae. The record is from RNAcentral.
CAAGGUGUAGCUUACAUAUUAAAGCCCUCAACUUACAAUUGAACCACGUCUAUCACACGACCACCCUGA